UUUUCCAUUACACACAAAACCUUUACUUUCUCUCUCCUCCUUCAUUUUCAUGCGUCAUUUUAUCACUCCUCUCUUUCUCUCUCCUAAUUUCUCAAUUCUUCAAGUCUUCAUGCUUCUACUUCAAUUAACAGUUGUGAUUGCUUCGAUUCGUUAACAAAUUCGCUGCCAUUAUCGUCUUCAAUCUAUCAACAUGGAUUCGACCUACUAUGGGUGUCACAAAGGUGAAUGUGGAUGCACAUUUGGGCAGCAAAUGGCAAAAUAUGUGGGCCUUGGUUUUUUUUUCUUGUAAUGAGAGGAGAGAGGUAACGACGUAUGUCAAGAAGGUGGAAUAUGGAGGAUGAAGAAGUCGUGGCAGCAAGGUAUGGAAUCCAAGUGGCUCGUAGAUUGGGUGUUGCUUGACUUUGGUUGGAGGUUAUCAUCAAAAUUGAUAUAGUUAUCUUGUUUUUAUAUAGUGACCUUUUAUGUAAAUGUGGUCAAAAUUGAUAUAUAGUUGCACUAUUUUUGUACAUAGUGACUUUAAUGCAAAUGUGGUCAAAAUUGAUAUAAUUACCUUAUUUUUGUAUAUAGUUACCUUAAUGUAUAUAGUUACCUUAUUUUUAUA
Molecule: long non-coding RNA, 601 nt
Organism: Chenopodium quinoa (quinoa)
Lineage: Eukaryota; Viridiplantae; Streptophyta; Magnoliopsida; Caryophyllales; Amaranthaceae
Exons: 2
Source: RefSeq, a predicted model, not a curated record